GGGGCUGUAAAGGUAUCGAUUGAUGUUAUUUGAUAUUAGAGUGCAGCAGAGAUUGAGUAUGUCUCGCAACAAAAGACUCACCAAACUGAAAUGGCGAUAAAUCGCUAGACGGGUUGGUCAUUGAUUGGAACGCAGCUGAAUAUGAUAAGAGAUACAUCUCUUCUACUGAUGUGAUUGUUUCAACAGAUCAACCAACUUACGCAUACGCUUAAGUUAUUGAGUUGUCUAACACUCGAUCAUAAAAUAAGUUAGACAAACUCUCUUUAGUUAGGAUGGAAGUUAGAGAUUAAAUAAACUACCAGUUGGUAACUCUGAGUAAAGUUACAAGUUGUUUGUCAGUUACUACUUAUAGAAACUGAACUAAGCUGUGAAUGACUCAGUAGAAGAAACAGACAAGACGCGGGUUCGACUCCCGCCAGCUCCACAA
This 427-nucleotide transfer-messenger RNA is filed under the name Flammeovirgaceae bacterium. It matches the Rfam family "transfer-messenger RNA". Rfam says of the family: Bacterial tmRNA, also known as 10Sa RNA or SsrA, is named for its dual tRNA and mRNA-like properties. Lineage: Bacteria; Pseudomonadati; Bacteroidota; Cytophagia; Cytophagales; Flammeovirgaceae. The record is from RNAcentral.